Molecule: microRNA precursor, 105 nt
Filed under: Vigna radiata var. radiata (mung bean)
Lineage: Eukaryota; Viridiplantae; Streptophyta; Magnoliopsida; Fabales; Fabaceae
Description: pre miRNA MIR158
Source: RNAcentral
ACACAUCACCACGAGACUUUCCAGUGUGCUUUGUCCUCACUCGCACACUUUCCGGGAAGUGCGAGUGAGGACAAAGCACACUGGAAAGUCUCGUGGUGAUGUGUG